CCUACGGGAGGCAGCAGUGAGGGAUAUUGGUCAAUGGGGGAAACCCUGAACCAGCAACGCCGCGUGAGGGAAGACGGUUUUCGGAUUGUAAACCUCUGUCCUCUGUGAAGAUAAUGACGGUAGCAGAGGAGGAAGCUCCGGCUAACUACGUGCCAGCAGCCGCGGUAAUACGUAGGGAGCAAGCGUUGUCCGGAUUUACUGGGUGUAAAGGGUGCGUAGGCGGCCCUGCAAGUCAGAAGUGAAAUCCAUGGGCUUAACCCGUGAACUGCUUUUGAAACUGGCAAACUGGAGUGUGUGAGAGGAUAGUGGAAUUCCAGGUGUAGGAGUGAAAUCCGUAGAUAUCUGGAGGAACAUCAGUGGCGAAGGCGACUAUCUGGCACAUAACUGACGCUGAGGAGCGAAAGCGUGGGUAGCAAACAGGAUUAGAUACCCCGGUAGUC
RNAcentral lists this ribosomal RNA (440 nucleotides) under uncultured bacterium. RNAcentral's name for it is "partial 16S ribosomal RNA". It matches the Rfam family "Bacterial small subunit ribosomal RNA", at positions 338 to 795 of the family's 1533-position model. The record is from RNAcentral.